This 406-nucleotide ribosomal RNA is filed under the name uncultured bacterium. Its description in RNAcentral is "partial 16S ribosomal RNA". It matches the Rfam family "Bacterial small subunit ribosomal RNA", at positions 29 to 526 of the family's 1533-position model. The record is from RNAcentral.
AUCGAACGCUGGCGGCAGGCUUAACACAUGCAAGUCGAGCGAGCGGCGGACGGGUGAGUAAUGGCUGGGAAACUGCCUGAUGGAGGGGGAAAAACACUGGAAAAGGUAGCUAAUACCGCAUAACAUAAGAUGUGCCGAGAAGGGAUGAGCUAGUGGGUGGGGGAAUGGCUCACCUAGGGGACGAGCCCUGGCUGGUCUGAGAGGCUGACCGGCCACACUGGAACUGAGACCCGGUCCAGACUCCUCCGGGAGGCAGCAGUGGGGAAUAUUUCACAAUGGGCGCAAUCCUGAUGCAGCCCUGCCGCGUGUGUGAAGAAGGCUUUCGGUUUGUAAAGCUCUUUCAGCGAGGAGGCGUUACUCGCAGAGGAAGCACCGGCUAACUCCGUGCCAGCCGCCGCGGUAAUUC